This 370-nucleotide ribosomal RNA is filed under the name uncultured Paucimonas sp. RNAcentral's name for it is "bacterial SSU rRNA". It matches the Rfam family "Bacterial small subunit ribosomal RNA", at positions 527 to 897 of the family's 1533-position model. Lineage: Bacteria; Pseudomonadati; Pseudomonadota; Betaproteobacteria; Burkholderiales; Burkholderiaceae. The record is from RNAcentral.
GUAGGGUGCAAGCGUUAAUCGGAAUUACUGGGCGUAAAGCGUGCGCAGGCGGCUAUGUAAGUCARGGUGUGAAAUCCCCGAGCUUAACUUGGGAAUUGCAUUUGUGACUGCMUGGCUAGAGUGUGUCAGAGGGAGGUGGAAUUCCACGUGUAGCAGUGAAAUGCGUAGAUAUGUGGAGGAACACCAAUGGCGAAGGCAGCUCCUGGGAUAACACUGACGCUCAUGCACGAAAGCGUGGGGAGCAAACAGGAUUAGAUACCCUGGUAGUCCACGCCCUAAACGAUGUCAACUAGUUGUUGGGUCAAUACKGACUUGGUAACGUAGCUAACGCGUGAAGUUGACCGCCUGGGGAGUACGGCCGCAAGGUUAA